RNAcentral lists this ribosomal RNA (480 nucleotides) under uncultured Malikia sp. Its description in RNAcentral is "bacterial SSU rRNA". It matches the Rfam family "Bacterial small subunit ribosomal RNA", at positions 8 to 489 of the family's 1533-position model. The record is from RNAcentral. Lineage: Bacteria; Pseudomonadati; Pseudomonadota; Betaproteobacteria; Burkholderiales; Comamonadaceae.
AGAGUUUGAUCAUGGCUCAGAUUGAACGCUGGCGGCAUGCUUUACACAUGCAAGUCGAACGGUAGGGUAGCAAUACCUGAGAGUGGCGAACGGGUGAGUAAUGCAUCGGAACAUGCCUAUUUGUGGGGGAUAGCCCGGCGAAAGCCGGAUUAAUACCGCAUACGAUCUAAGGAUGAAAGCUGGGGACCGCAAGGCCUAGCGCAAAUAGAGUGGCCGAUGUCAGAUUAGCUAGUUGGUGGGGUAAAGGCUCACCAAGGCAACGAUCUGUAGCUGGUUUGAGAGAACGACCAGCCACACUGGGACUGAGACACGGCCCAGACUCCUACGGGAGGCAGCAGUGGGGAAUUUUGGACAAUGGGCGAAAGCCUGAUCCAGCAAUGCCGCGUGCAGGAUGAAGGCCUUCGGGUUGUAAACUGCUUUUGUACGGAGCGAAAAGGCUUCUUCUAAUACAGGAGGCUCAUGACGGUACCGUAAGAAUAG